GAUGAACGCUGGCGGCGUGCUUAACACAUGCAAGUCGAACGAACCUUCGGGUUAGUGGCGGACGGGUGAGUAACGCGUGAGAAUCUGCCCUCAGGAGGGGGACAACAGCUGGAAACGGCUGCUAAUACCCCAUAUGCCGCGAGGUGAAAUGAAUUUCGCCUGAGGAUGAGCUCGCGUCUGAUUAGCUAGUUGGUGUAGGUAAUGGCUCACCAAGGCAUCGAUCAGUAGCUGGUCUGAGAGGAUGAUCAGCCACACUGGGACUGAGACACGGCCCAGACUCCUACGGGAGGCAGCAGUGGGGAAUUUUCCGCAAUGGGCGAAAGCCUGACGGAGCAACGCCGCGUGAGGGAUGAAGGCCUCUGGGCUGUAAACCUCUUUUAUCAAGGAAGAAGAUCUGACGGUACUUGAUGAAUAAGCCACGGCUAAUUCCGUGCCAGCAGA
Molecule: ribosomal RNA, 441 nt
Filed under: uncultured bacterium
Lineage: Bacteria
Description: bacterial SSU rRNA
Rfam family: Bacterial small subunit ribosomal RNA
Source: RNAcentral